UACGGGGGGGGCAAGCGUUGUUCGGAAUUAUUGGGCGUAAAGGGCGCGUAGGCGGCUUUGCAAGUGACGGGUGAAAGCCCUCGGCUUAACCGAGGAACUGCCUGUCAGACUGUGAGGCUUGAGACCGGGAGAGGUGAGUGGAAUUCCCAGUGUAGCGGUGAAAUGCGUAGAUAUUGGGAGGAACACCAGUGGCGAAGGCGGCUCACUGGACCGGAACUGACGCUGAGGCGCGAAAGCGUGGGGAGCAAACAGG
This 253-nucleotide ribosomal RNA is filed under the name uncultured bacterium. RNAcentral describes it as "partial 16S ribosomal RNA". It matches the Rfam family "Bacterial small subunit ribosomal RNA", at positions 524 to 776 of the family's 1533-position model. The record is from RNAcentral.